RNAcentral lists this ribosomal RNA (518 nucleotides) under bacterium enrichment culture DGGE band YJ_20C_12h. Its description in RNAcentral is "bacterial SSU rRNA". It matches the Rfam family "Bacterial small subunit ribosomal RNA", at positions 338 to 847 of the family's 1533-position model. The record is from RNAcentral.
UCUACGGGAGGCAGCAGUGGGGAAUUUUGGACAAUGGGCGAAAGCCUGAUCCAGCCAUGCCGCGUGAGUGAAGAAGGCCUUCGGGUUGUAAAGCUCUUUCAGCCGGAAAGAAAUCGCGCAGGCUAAUACUCUGCGUGGAUGACGGUACCGGAAGAAGAAGCACCGGCUAACUACGUGCCAGCAGCCGCGGUAAUACGUAGGGUGCGAGCGUUAAUCGGAAUUACUGGGCGUAAAGCGUGCGCAGGCGGUUAUAUAAGACAGAUGUGAAAUCCCCGGGCUCAACCUGGGAACUGCGUUUGUGACUGUAUGACUAGAGUACGGCAGAGGGAGGUGGAAUUCCGCGUGUAGCAGUGAAAUGCGUAGAUAUGCGGAGGAACACCGAUGGCGAAGGCAGCCUCCUGGGCCAGUACUGACGCUCAUGCACGAAAGCGUGGGGAGCAAACAGGAUUAGAUACCCUGGUAGUCCACGCCCUAAACGAUGUCAACUAGUUGUUCGGUGAGGAGACUCAUUGAGUAAC